Molecule: ribosomal RNA, 468 nt
Filed under: uncultured bacterium
Lineage: Bacteria
Description: partial 16S ribosomal RNA
Rfam family: Bacterial small subunit ribosomal RNA
Source: RNAcentral
GACGAACGCUGGCGGCGUGCUUAACACAUGCAAGUCGAACGGAAAGGCCCUGCUUUUGUGGGGUGCUCGAGUGGCGAACGGGUGAGUAACACGUGAGUAACCUGCCCUUGACUUUGGGAUAACUUCAGGAAACUGGGGCUAAUACCGGAUAGGAGCUCCUGCUGCAUGGUGGGGGUUGGAAAGUUUCGGCGGUUGGGGAUGGACUCGCGGCUUAUCAGCUUGUUGGUGGGGUAGUGGCUUACCAAGGCUUUGACGGGUAGCCGGCCUGAGAGGGUGACCGGGCACAUUGGGACUGGGGUACGGCCCAGAAUUCUACGGGAGGCAGGAGUGGGGAAUAUUGCACAAUGGGCGGAAGCCUGAUGCAGCAACGCCGCGUGCGGGAUGACGGCCUUCGGGUUGUAAACCGCUUUCGCCUGUGACGAAGCGUGAGUGACGGUAAUGGGUAAAGAAGCACCGGCUAACUACGUG